This 497-nucleotide ribosomal RNA is filed under the name uncultured bacterium. RNAcentral describes it as "partial 16S ribosomal RNA". It matches the Rfam family "Bacterial small subunit ribosomal RNA", at positions 28 to 507 of the family's 1533-position model. The record is from RNAcentral.
GAUGAACGCUGGCGGCGUGCCUAAUACAUGCAAGUCGAGCGAACGGGCGAGAAGCUUGCUUUUCUGAUGUUAGCGGCGGACGGGUGAGUAACACGUGGAUAACCUACCUAUAAGACUGGGAUCACUUCGGGAAACCGGAGCUAAUACCGGAUAAUAUUUUGAACCGCAUGGUUCAAAAGUGAAAUACGGUCUUGCUGUCUCGUCUAGAUGGAUCCGCGCUUGAUUAGCUAGUUGGUAAGGUCACCGCUUACCAAGGCAACGAUGCGUAGACGAAGUGAGAGACUGGUAGGCCACACUGGAAGUGAGACACGGUCCAGACUACUACGGGAGGCAGCAGAAGGGAAUGUGACGCAAUGGGCGAAGGCAUGACGGAGCAACGGGGCGUGAGUGAUGGAGGCGUUGGGUUCGUAAAAAUCUGUUAUUAGGGAAGAACAUAUGUGUAAGUAAACGUGGAGAGCUUGACGGUAACUAAUAAGAAAGCAACGGCUAACUACGUG